GUUAUUUUUCUUUUUUCAUUUGUUUUUACAUUUGAAAUUUUAGAGCCUUUUAUAACUGACUUAUAUGCUGUAUGGGCUUUUCUCAUUGUUGAAGGCUGUACUGUGAUACACAGUUGAUAAUUUUGGAGUCAUUUGGUCUAUUGACAAUGAUUGAGGAGUGAACAUACAACAUCUUAUUUUGGAGUGGUGGAUCCAGAAUUUAUUGUGGAGUGCUGUCUCAUUGGCAAACAUACAACAUCUUAUUUUGCAGUAGUGGGUCCUGAAUUUUUCAUAAGUGGG
This 279-nucleotide long non-coding RNA is filed under the name Mytilus galloprovincialis (Mediterranean mussel). The record is from RNAcentral. Lineage: Eukaryota; Metazoa; Mollusca; Bivalvia; Mytilida; Mytilidae.